Molecule: long non-coding RNA, 919 nt
Filed under: Dromaius novaehollandiae (emu)
Lineage: Eukaryota; Metazoa; Chordata; Aves; Casuariiformes; Dromaiidae
Description: lncRNA (ENSDNVG00000016763.1)
Source: RNAcentral
UGUAGCUGACUCUGUGGGCUUCUAUUUACUGCUGUUUACUUUUCCUCACAGAUUUUCAAAUAAAAUUAUUUUAGCACAAUCUUGUUGCUUUUGAAGAAGUGAUACUCCUAAAUAUAGAAAUGCAGUGUAAAUAUUUAUAAGAUUCCCUUUAUGAGGCCAUCUUUUUUAAGUGCCUUGAAGGGCAACAGCAUGUGUGUGGGUAUGUGGGGACUAGAAGGACAGCUGUGCUAAGAAUUCCCUGCAAGAGAGGGUAAUGAAACUGCAGCCAUCCUUCAUGAGAUUUGUUUUAGGAAAAGAAGCUUUAAAUUCAACAAGGAUUCCAACAGAGAACUAGCUUCUUGUAAGAUCAGCUAAAUUGUUGCAUCUCUGUCCCUGACACAGUUUCUUUUCACUUUGCAGGCAAAGCUGUCUGUCCCAGCAUCACUCGGCGUUCCGGGUAACAUAAGCACACCUGCGUUUCCUCUUAACAGACUUUCCUCUGUUAAGGCCUACAGAUAAAUCUGACUUCAUCCCCAGAACAGUUAUCAUAAGAACAGCACCAUUAUACAGAGGCAUAGAUUUUCCCUUGUCUCACUUGACUUCAGCCUGCRUCUGGAAAAAAAAUCUUUUCCUCUGACUUUGCAUGGUUGAAAGUCUUCAUCAACAGUGUCACUGGAGAUGAAAAACCAGGAAAGGAAAUACAGUCAUGAAUUUGGACAUAAUGUGGCUGGAUCUAAUUUCAUGUACAUCGUGUAGCUAGACCUACUCUCAUGGACAUCAAAUCUGUGUAGAGCUUUCCAGUAGUUUUGGAAGAUGACUACUCAUAUGGUGUCAUAAAAACUGUAUACACCUGCUGAAGGUAAGAAACCAGUAUUUGCAUGUUAGGCAUAUACAAUAUAUUUGCAAAUUGGUAACUGUGUCUAAGGUCAUAUUUACACAU